AAAGCACUCCCUCCGUCCCAAAAUUCUUUUCUUAGAUUUGUCUAGCUACGAAUGUAUCAAGUCACAUUUUAGUAUUAGAUACAUCCCUAUCUAGACAAAUCUAAGACAAGAAAUUUGGGACAGAGGGAGUAGUUG
Triticum aestivum (bread wheat) is the source of this 135-nucleotide non-coding RNA. NCBI's taxonomy places the organism in Eukaryota, Viridiplantae, Streptophyta, Magnoliopsida, Poales, Poaceae. The record is from Rfam.